This 21-nucleotide non-coding RNA is filed under the name Caenorhabditis elegans. The record is from RNAcentral. Lineage: Eukaryota; Metazoa; Nematoda; Chromadorea; Rhabditida; Rhabditidae.
UAAUUACUCCAUUAUUUUUCA